AAGAUUUACCAUCUUGAUCAUUUUUUUUUCCUUGACACAGAGUUUUACUUUGUCGCCCAGGCUGGAGUGCAGUGGCGAGAUCAUGGCUCACGUCAACCUCUGCUUCCCCAGCUCAAGAGAUUCUCCUGCCUCAGCCUCCGGAAUAGCUGGGACUACAGAACAGAGCUGAGAUUCUGUCCAGUUCUCUGUCAUCCACGUGCUUCAGAGACACCCGGACCCAUCUCCUGGUUGGUCUUGAUUGGCCAAGUCAGUCAAGGAAAUCCCUUGCUAAUCACUGACUUAGGAAGGGGUUUACAAGCCUGAGGCAGGGAAGAAGACUACGGUAGUGGAGGAGAUUCUGGAAAAGGAUUCUUAACUUUUAAAAAGAGCACAAGAAAAGGAUCCCCAGUCCUUAAAAGGAGACACAAAGAAGGGAUAGAAUUCUAUUUUGCCUCUGGACGGUGUGUGGAGACGCAAUGCCUGGAGCCACUACAGUCAUUUUGUGAUCAUGAGAAGAAUGAUUGAUCUGAUGAGGACAGAAUGUGCCCUACUCUGGGCUUCCAGUUAUAUGAGGAAAAGACUGCAGACCAGGAAAUGCAGGUUUCAGACUAGGAGAAGAUUCUGCAAAUCAUGUGGUGGAGAGAAAGCUGUGUUUCCUGGGGGGUUAGCUGCAGCUCCAGUGACCAUACCCCAGGGUCAAGUCACAAAACUCCCCAGGAUCAAUGUUGAACUGUGUCCAGGAAGGAGCAAGAAAUGAAGAGUGUGGCCGGGCGCGGUGGCUCACGCUUGUAAUUUCAGCACUUUGGGAGGCUGAGGCGGGCGGAUCCCGAAUUCAAGAGAUUGAGACUGUCCUGGCUAACACAGUGAAACCCUGUCUCUACUAAAAAUACAAAAAAUUAGCCAGGCGUGGUGGCACACGCCUGCAGUCCCAGCUACUCGGAGGCUGAGGCAGGAGAAUGGCAUGAACCUGGGAGGUGGAGCUUGCAGUGAGCCAAGAUUGCACCACUGCACUCCAACCUGGGCAACAACAAUGAAGCUCCGUCUCAAAAAAAAAAAAAAGAAAGAAAGAAAGAAAAAGAAAAUAAAUGAAGAGUGGGGGAAGGAAGACUGCGGACUGAGGAGAAGCCUGGCUUCUCAGAGAGUGGGAGAGGCUCUGUCUUGGCUCAUCUUCAUUUCACCAGAGACUAAUCUAAGAAGACUUUAUGAGGCAUUACCAACAACAGAAGAAGUAAGUCUGAAGAUCUCAAACCUUCAUCGACUGCUCAAAAGUCCCAAAGUGUCAUUGCAGGACUAUUCACAAGAGCAAAGAUGCAGAACCAAUCCAGGAGUUCAUCAACAGUGGAUUGGAUAAGGAAAAUGUGAAGAAGAGGAAAUUUGGACCCAGACACAGAGGGAAGAUGAUGUGAAGACACUGAGCGGAGACAGCCAUCUACAAACCCAGGAGAGAGGCCUCAGAAGGAAUCCACGCUGCCAACACCUUGAUCCUGGAUUUCCAGCCUCCAGAAAGGUGAGAAAAGAAAUGUCUGUUGUUAAAGCUACUCAGUCUGCGGUAUUUCUUAUGGCAGCCGGAGCCAACUCCUACGGUGUAAGUCAUGAACUAGACUAGUGGACUUCAUACUUUUUGACUACACCCAACAGUAACAAAUUUAUUUUGCAUCGUG
RNAcentral lists this long non-coding RNA (1640 nucleotides) under Piliocolobus tephrosceles (Ugandan red Colobus). Its description in RNAcentral is "lncRNA (ENSPTEG00000027463.1)". The record is from RNAcentral. Lineage: Eukaryota; Metazoa; Chordata; Mammalia; Primates; Cercopithecidae.